Molecule: ribosomal RNA, 953 nt
Filed under: Alexandrium fundyense
Lineage: Eukaryota; Dinophyceae; Gonyaulacales; Pyrocystaceae
Description: LSU rRNA
Rfam family: Eukaryotic large subunit ribosomal RNA
Source: RNAcentral
GCUUAGCAUGAAGUGAAGCACAUACACCUGCUGAGUUUAAGCAUAUAAGUAAGUGGUGGAAAUUAAACCAAAUGGGAUAUCUUUAGUAAUUACGAAUGAACAAGGAUAUGCUUAGCUUGACAAAUGGAGCUAUUGGCUUUGAAUUGUAUUGUGGAAAUGUACUACCAACAGAGGUGCAGGUGCCAGCAUAUUGAAAUAGAGCGUCAAUGAGGGUGAGAAUCCUGUUUGCCAUGUGCAGCCCUUUGUGCACGGUGUAUAUUUGCUGAGUCACACUCCUUGGCAUUGGAAUGCAAAGUGGGUGGUAAGUUUCAUGUACAGGUAAACAUGCAAUUGAGACUGAUAGCACACAAGUACCAUGAGGGAAAUAUGAAAAGGACUUUGAAAAGAGAAUUAAAUGAGUUUGUAUUUGCUGAACACAAAGUAAACAGACUUGAUUUGCUUGGUGGGAGUGUUGCACUUGCUUGACAAGAGCUUUGGGCUGUGGGUGUAAUGGUUCUUUCUUUGCACGCCAGUUUCUAUGUGUACAUCUGAUUACCUUUGCACAUGAAUGAUAAGUCUCCUGUGGGGGGUGGAUUGCAUGUGCAUGUAAUGAUUUGUGUUUUGAUAAAUGUGUCUGGUGUAUGUGUGUGUGUUCCUGUGCUUGGGGAUGCUUCCUUCCUUGGACUUACAAGCCCUGACACACACAUGCUGGCAAAAUGCUUCUGCUUGACCCGUCUUGAAACACGGACCAAGGAGUCUAACAUAUGUGCAACGUUUGAAGGUGGUAUACCUUUGUGUGCAAUGAAAGUGUCAGCUGGGAUGUGUGCACCAGCACCCAAUUAAUUAGCGGACAGAGGUUUGAGUUGGAGCAUAUCUAUUAGGACCCGAAAGAUGGUGAACUAUGCCUGAACAGAAUGAAUUCAGAGGAAACUCUGAUGGAGGUUCGUAUCGAUACUGACGUGCAAAUCGUUCGU